Cercocebus atys (sooty mangabey) is the source of this 986-nucleotide long non-coding RNA. RefSeq lists it as uncharacterized. The record is from RefSeq and is a predicted model, not a curated record. The transcript has 2 exons. NCBI's taxonomy places the organism in Eukaryota, Metazoa, Chordata, Mammalia, Primates, Cercopithecidae.
GAGGAGAGGGGAGGGUGAGGGAGAGGCAGAGGCAGAGGCAGAGGGAGAGGGAGAGGGAGAGGGGAAGAGAGAGGAUUGAUGACAAUGUUUGGGUCCUAGGAUGUACAUCUGAAGUUAGCAUGACCUAAUAUUAUGCUUUCUGUAUCACAACAUUAGUAAAACGAAUAUCGUCUUCCAAUUGUCCACAAAACUAGAGACCAUUCCAGAACUGAGACCAAAUAUUAUGUUUAUUAAUUGCAGCUUAAGACAGUAAAUUACAGUGUAAUGGUCUUAAUUACUAAUUCAUUAUUAAUUAGUUUAAUAGCUUUUCUUCCUAGGCACAAGAACAUCAAAGCAUAAAUUCUUCCAGUAUCAGCAAUGACAUCACUUAAGAGUCUCUCAGAAUCUUAGGCACCACCCCAGGCCUACUGGAUUAGAAUCUGAAUUUUUAAACAAGAUCUCAGGUAACUUGCAUGCAUAUUAAAGUUUGAGAAGUGCUGCCCUAGCUGCCUUAGACAUUAGUGCUCAUUACUCUGAUCUACAUCUCCGGAAUUUAAGAGAUCUUCUGUGAAUCACUGAUCACUGUGGGAAUUCAGAUACUCAUCUGUAACACGCUUAUGUCCAUCUUUAGAUCUAGUCAAGAGUCCGAUUUCUAUUUAUUGGGACUACCACCCAAAGCAGAAUGAGGAUGAUGUAACCAAGCCCAGUGACUUCUAGAUACCACUAACUCUAGAUCCUGAAUUCCAGCAGAAUGGCUGACAUCAACUGGUCUGAAGACCCCCAUCAAGGAACCGACUCAGUGCUGGAAUGCAGUUUCUUCAUCUCCCUAUCCCUGACUUCACCUCCCACUUCUCAGCCAAUCAGUGAUCACCACACUUUAGGCCAUCACCUGUGUCCAGACCCCUUAAAGACCCUGUCCACAAACCUCUUGAUAAGGCAUAUUUGAGGUUUCCUCUUAUCUCCUCAUUUGGUUGCCCUACAAGUAUUAAACUCUUUCUCUGCAGCAA